CCACACUGGAACUGAGACACGGUCCAGACUCCUACGGGAGGCAGCAGUGGGGAAUAUUGCACAAUGGGCGCAAGCCUGAUGCAGCCAUGCCGCGUGUAUGAAGAAGGCCUUCGGGUUGUAAAGUACUUUCAGCGAGGAGGAAGGCAUUAAGGUUAAUAACCUUAGUGAUUGACGUUACUCGCAGAAGAAGCACCGGCUAACUCCGUGCCAGCAGCCGCGGUAAUACGGAGGGUGCAAGCGUUAAUCGGAAUUACUGGGCGUAAAGCGCACGCAGGCGGUUUGUUAAGUCAGAUGUGAAAUCCCCGGGCUCAACCUGGGAACUGCAUUUGAAACUGGCAAGCUUGAGUCUUGUAGAGGGGGGUAGAAUUCCAGGUGUACGCGGUGAAAUACGUAGAGAUCUGGAGGAAUACCCGGUGGCGAAGGCGGCCCCCUGGACAAAGACU
RNAcentral lists this ribosomal RNA (443 nucleotides) under Pseudomonas sp. RNAcentral's name for it is "bacterial SSU rRNA". It matches the Rfam family "Bacterial small subunit ribosomal RNA", at positions 308 to 741 of the family's 1533-position model. The record is from RNAcentral. Lineage: Bacteria; Pseudomonadati; Pseudomonadota; Gammaproteobacteria; Pseudomonadales; Pseudomonadaceae.